AACGCACGAGACCUGCGGACCUGCGGAGGGAUCAUUAGAGAGAAAAGUCGUAGAAAUACGACCAAACAUCAGUUCUUGUGAACGAACCAUUUGCUUUGGCGAGGACAUUAGGACUCGCCAGAGGAUAAAAAUCAUAUGAAUUGUUAAUAUAAUUAUUACAUUAUUGUCAAAACUUUUAACAAUGGAUCUCU
Molecule: unclassified non-coding RNA, 191 nt
Filed under: soil metagenome
Description: partial contains 5.8S ribosomal RNA, internal transcribed spacer 2, and large subunit ribosomal RNA
Source: RNAcentral